Molecule: non-coding RNA, 275 nt
Organism: Cinara cedri
Lineage: Eukaryota; Metazoa; Arthropoda; Insecta; Hemiptera; Aphididae
Source: the annotation of a GenBank genome assembly
UUAUAAUACAUAUAGUGAGCUAGUUAAUAACAGGAAGUCUAGUUUCCAGCAUACUCGUGAUUUGUGUUGUUUACAUAUUAUAAGCCAAAAGAAAAUAAAUAUUUUUUCUUCAAAUCAAGGUGAUUUUCAGUGUUGUACCAUUGAUCUGAGCCAGUCUCGAAACGCCUUACAACUAAUUAGGCCCCGAUUUGCAGAUUCCUAUCGUCAAUGUCAUCGGUUCUGCAGCUAUUAUUUUUAGAAUAUAUUUCAUCGCACUGUUUGGGUUUGACGCUUGU